RNAcentral lists this ribosomal RNA (329 nucleotides) under uncultured eukaryote. RNAcentral describes it as "partial 18S ribosomal RNA". It matches the Rfam family "Eukaryotic small subunit ribosomal RNA", at positions 1470 to 1796 of the family's 1831-position model. The record is from RNAcentral.
UCCUUAGAUGUUCUGGGCCGCACGCGCGCUACACUGACGAUGGCAACGAGUUUUUCCUUCGCCGAAAGGUGUGGGUAAUCUUUUGAAACAUCGUCGUGCUGGGGAUAGAUCAUUGCAAUUUUUGAUCUUGAACGAGGAAUUCCUAGUAAGCGCGAGUCAUCAGCUCGCGUUGAUUACGUCCCUGCCCUUUGUACACACCGCCCGUCGCUACUACCGAUUGAAUGGUUUAGUGAGGACUCCUGAUUGGCGCCGCCGCCCCGGCAACGGAGCAGCGGACUGCCGAAAAGUUGUUCAAACUUGAUCAUUUAGAGGAAGUAAAAGUCGUAACA